ACCCCACUGCUAUCGGGAUAGGACUAAGACAUGCUAGUUGAGCGCUUCCAGCCAACACGGGAGCGCAGCGCACAGCUCAGUAACACGUGGCUAAUCUGCCCUUGGGACCGGAACACCCCCGGGAAACUGGGGCUAAUUCUCGAUAGGUGAAGAACUCUGGAAUGAGUCUUUGCUUAAAAGACGUUUGCGUUAUGCUCGUAGACGUCGCCCAAGGAUGAGGCCGCGACCGAUCAGGUUGUUGGUGAGGUAAUGGCUCACCAAGCCUUUUACCGGUGCGGGCCGUGAGAGCGGGAGCCCGGAGAUGGGCACUGAGACAAGGGCCCAGGCCCUACGGGGCGCAGCAGUCGCGAAAACUUUGCAAUACACGAAAGUGUGACAGGGCUAUCCCGAGUGCCAUCUGCUGAGGAAGGCUUUUACCCAGUCUAGAACGCUGGGGGAAUAAGGAGAGGGCAAGUCUGGUGUCAGCCGCCGCGGUAAUACCAGCUCUCCGAGUGGUGUGGAUGUUUAUUGGGCCUAAAGCAUCCGUAGCUGGCUAAGUUAGUCCCUUGUUAAAUCCACCGAAUUAAUCGUUGGAUUGCGGGGGAUACUGCUUGGCUAGGGGACGAGAGAGGCAGACGGUAUUUCCGGGGUAGGGGUGAAAUCCUAUAAUCCCGGGAAGACCACCAGUGGCGAAGGCUGUCUGCUAGAACGCGCCCGACGGUGAGGGAUGAAAGCUGGGGGAGCGAACCGGAUUAGAUACCCGGGUAGUCCCAGCUGUAAACGAUGCAGGCUAGGUGUUUGGACGGCCACGUGCCGUUCUAGUGCCGCAGGGAAGCUGUUAAGCCUGCCGCCUGGGGAGUACGAUCGCAAGAUUGAAACUUAAAGGAAU
This 868-nucleotide ribosomal RNA is filed under the name uncultured crenarchaeote. Its description in RNAcentral is "bacterial SSU rRNA". It matches the Rfam family "Archaeal small subunit ribosomal RNA", at positions 21 to 865 of the family's 1478-position model. Lineage: Archaea; Thermoproteati; Thermoproteota. The record is from RNAcentral.